GCAAUGGACGAAAGUCUGACCGAGCAACGCCGCGUGAGUGAAGAAGGUUUUCGGAUCGUAAAGCUCUGUUGUAAGUCAAGAACAUGUGUGAGAGUGGAAAGUUCACACAGUGACGGUAGCUUACCAGAAAGGGACGGCUAACUACGUGCCAGCAGCCGCGGUAAUACGUAGGUCCCGAGCGUUGUCCGGAUUUAUUGGGCGUAAAGGGAGCGCAGGCGGUCAGGAAAGUCUGGAGUAAAAGGCUAUGGCUCAACCAUAGUGUGCUCUGGAAACUGUCUGACUUGAGUGCAGAAGGGGAGAGUGGAAUUCCAUGUGUAGCGGUGAAAUGCGUAGAUAUAUGGAGGAACACCAGUGGCGAAAGCGGCUCUCUGGUCUGUCACUGACGCUGAAGCUCGAAAGCGUGGGUAGCGAACAGGAUUAGAUACCCUGGUAGUUCACGCCGUAAACCAUGAGUGCUAGGUGUUAGGCCCUUUCCGGGGCUUAGUGCCGGAGCUAACGCAUAAGCACUCCGCCUGGGGAGUACGACCGCAAGGUUGAAACUCAAAGGAAUUGACGGGGGCCCGCACAAGCGG
This 572-nucleotide ribosomal RNA is filed under the name Streptococcus mutans. RNAcentral describes it as "bacterial SSU rRNA". It matches the Rfam family "Bacterial small subunit ribosomal RNA", at positions 368 to 932 of the family's 1533-position model. The record is from RNAcentral. Lineage: Bacteria; Bacillati; Bacillota; Bacilli; Lactobacillales; Streptococcaceae.